This 930-nucleotide ribosomal RNA is filed under the name Leucauge sp. DMN-2016. RNAcentral's name for it is "SSU rRNA". It matches the Rfam family "Eukaryotic small subunit ribosomal RNA", at positions 754 to 1710 of the family's 1831-position model. The record is from RNAcentral. Lineage: Eukaryota; Metazoa; Arthropoda; Arachnida; Araneae; Tetragnathidae.
ACUUUGAAAAAAUUAGAGUGCUCAAAGCAGGCGCGACGCCUGGAUAAUGGUGCAUGGAAUAAUGGAAUAGGACCUCGGUUCUAUUUUGUUGGUUUUAGGAACACGAGGUAAUGAUUAAGAGGGACAGACGGGGGCAUUCGUAUUGCGACGCUAGAGGUGAAAUUCUUGGACCGCCGCACGACGAACUACUGCGAAAGCAUUUGCCAAGAAUGUUUCCAUUAAUCAAGAACGAAAGUUAGAGGUCCGAAGGCGAUCAGAUACCGCCCUAGUUCUAACCAUAAACGAUGCCAGCCAGCGAUCCGGCUGUGUUCCUCAAAUGACACGCCGGGCAGCUUCCGGGAAACCAAAGCUUUUGGGUUCCGGGGGGAGUAUGGUUGCAAAGCUUAAACUUGAAGGAAUUGACGGAAGCGCACACAAGGAAUGGGGCCUGCGGUUUAAUUUGACUCAACACGGUGCAACUCUCCUGGCCCGGACACAGGAAGGAUUGACAGAUUGAGAGCUCUUUCUUAAUUCUGUGAUAGGUGGUGCAUGGCCGUUUCUGGUUGGUGGAGUGAUUUGUCUGCUUUAUUGCGAUAACGAGCGAGACUCUAGCCUACUAAAUAGACGGUGCGAUCCUUCUGAGUCGCACGUUCUUCUUAGAGGGACAGGCGGUGUUCAGCCGCACGAAACAGAGCAAAAACAGGUCAGGAUGCCCUUAGAUGUUCGGGGCCACACGCGCGCCACAUUGAAGGAACCAGCGUGUGCUUUCCCUGUCCGACAGGACUGGGUAACCCGUUGAAACUCCUUCGUGCUGGGGAUAGGGGUUUGUAAUUGUCCCCCUUGAACGAGGAAUUCCCAGUAAGCGCGAGUCAUCAGCUCGUGUUGAUUACGUCCCUGCGCUUUGUACACACCGCCCGUCGCUAUUAUCGAUGAAUUUUGGAGUGAGAUCUU